UUCUUCUUCUAUAUUACCAGCAACAAAAGUGAAUUCCACUGUUAAAAACAUGAAGCACCACAGGAGGUCCUUAAAAAAAUAUUUAAUACCAAUAAAAUACCCAGAAUACUAUAAAGGACUGGUAGUAAAUGUUAAUGUUCACUGAGAUAAUGUGUUUAUGGUUUAAGAAUAGAGUUCAGCUGAGUUAGAAGGAUUGUUGUUUAAGUAACCGAGUUUUCCAGAAGGCCAGUGAACAUGUCAGUGUUUGGGCACGUGACACUGUUGGACAUUUCCAGCUACUAAUGGCUGCGGGUUCGGGGCUAUGGCGUGCUUCUCAUUGCCUGGGAGACAGAGGUUGUCCUCUGACCACAGGGGGGAUCCUGUGUCGCCGUCGCGCUGUUCUCUCUCGGUUCCGGAUCAUCCGUGUCUCGUCCUCACCACGGUCCCGCUGCGGCCACUGGGGCGCCCGUGUUGUUUUUCUGCUUGGGGGAGAGAACUGCAGGAUGUUGUUCACCUGUGGAACACUCACAGAAUUCGCCCAUGCAGAAAUGCGGUGUCCCCAGGAGGACGUCCGGUGAUGAUGUACACCCUACCCCAACUAUUUGGUGCUAGGGAGUACCUUAAAGAGGUAUCCCAACAGAAGAUACAGGCAUGCAGGGAGGAAUGCCUACAGGGAGGGCCGUAUCCCUGUGAUAAUACUGUGUUUGAAAUUGGUUGCCUUGUCAUGGCAGAAAACAGUCUUCAUCCACCCACCUCUCCAGAGGAAGCCAUUGAGCUUUACAGGUUUUUACGGGCUUACAUAUAUGCCCAUAUUUAAUAAUCACAAGUUGUUCUACUGGAUCAGAUGAUUGAAUGUGAGCACCCAUCCUCAGCAACAUAACACUGUAUUUGCAGUUUUUCUAUGGGUGGAAAAUGUUAUGUUGACUGCGAAUUUCAGUUUAAAUGAUUGACAGAUGUAUUGUCUCUAAGUAAUGAAUAGCAAUGAACUCUAAACUAAUUGACAUCUCCCCUCUGAGCUUCAUAUCAUCUCUUUUCAUUCAUCAUUAUGGAAAAAUGAUACAUCUCAACAAGGUAACUGGGGCAGUCCUGAAAAUAAACGUCUCACAUUUUG
Hippoglossus stenolepis (Pacific halibut) is the source of this 1090-nucleotide long non-coding RNA. RefSeq lists it as uncharacterized. The transcript is spliced from 2 exons. The record is from RefSeq and is a predicted model, not a curated record. NCBI's taxonomy places the organism in Eukaryota, Metazoa, Chordata, Actinopteri, Pleuronectiformes, Pleuronectidae.